This 180-nucleotide non-coding RNA is filed under the name Deltaproteobacteria bacterium. Its description in RNAcentral is "6S RNA". It matches the Rfam family "6S / SsrS RNA". From Rfam's summary of the family: E. coli 6S RNA was the first non coding RNA to be sequenced, but its function was unknown until recently. It consists of 184 nucleotides that fold into an extended hairpin structure with a large single-stranded internal bulge. Lineage: Bacteria; Pseudomonadati; Myxococcota; Myxococcia. The record is from RNAcentral.
UUUCCCCUGCCGUGUUCGUGAUUGGAAGAUGUUCUUUGACCCAACACUUAUUAAACGGGAGUUUUCACUUGUUUUGGCGUGCAGUUCUGUGAAUGCGGAAUUGCCUAAAGAAACUAUAAAACACCCACUUUUACUACCAGGAUCAAAGACCUGCCAACACGGCACCUAGGUGGGGGCACC